GGGGUCAUGGCUCAGUGGCAGAGCAUCCACUUGGUGUGCAGAAGGUCCCAGGUUCGAUUGCCAGCAACUUCU
RNAcentral lists this transfer RNA (72 nucleotides) under Sphaerodactylus townsendi. RNAcentral's name for it is "tRNA-Thr". The record is from RNAcentral. Lineage: Eukaryota; Metazoa; Chordata; Lepidosauria; Squamata; Sphaerodactylidae.